This 545-nucleotide ribosomal RNA is filed under the name uncultured bacterium. RNAcentral describes it as "partial 16S ribosomal RNA". It matches the Rfam family "Bacterial small subunit ribosomal RNA", at positions 355 to 914 of the family's 1533-position model. The record is from RNAcentral.
UGGGGAAUAUUGCACAAUGGGCGAAAGCCUGAUGCAGCAACGCCGCGUGAGUGAUGAAGGUCUUCGGAUUGUAAAGCUCUGUCUUUUGGGACGAUAAUGACGGUACCAAAGGAGGAAGCCACGGCUAACUACGUGCCAGCAGCCGCGGUAAUACGUAGGUGGCGAGCGUUGUCCGGAUUUACUGGGCGUAAAGGGUGCGUAGGCGGAUGUUUAAGUGAGAUGUGAAAUACCCGGGCUUAACCUGGGUGCUGCAUUUCAAACUGGAUAUCUAGAGUGCAGGAGAGGAGAAUGGAAUUCCUAGUGUAGCGGUGAAAUGCGUAGAGAUUAGGAAGAACACCAGUGGCGAAGGCGAUUCUCUGGACUGUAACUGACGCUGAGGCACGAAAGCGUGGGUAGCAAACAGGAUUAGAUACCCUGGUAGUCCACGCCGUAAACGAUGAGUACUAGGUGUAGGAGGUAUCGACCCCUUCUGUGCCGCAGUAAACACAUUAAGUACUCCGCCUGGGAAGUACGAUCGCAAGAUUAAAACUCUAAAGUGAAUUGAC